RNAcentral lists this ribosomal RNA (468 nucleotides) under uncultured bacterium. RNAcentral's name for it is "partial 16S ribosomal RNA". It matches the Rfam family "Bacterial small subunit ribosomal RNA", at positions 28 to 507 of the family's 1533-position model. The record is from RNAcentral.
GACGAACGCUGGCGGCGUGCUUAACACAUGCAAGUCGAACGGAAAGGCCCUGCUUUUGUGGGGUGCUCGAGUGGCGAACGGGUGAGUAACACGUGAGUAACCUGCCCUUGACUUUGGGAUAACUUCAGGAAACUGGGGCUAAUACCGGAUAGGAGCUCCUGCUGCAUGGUGGGGGUUGGAAAGUUUCGGCGGUUGGGGAUGGACUCGCGGCUUAUCAGCUUGUUGGUGGGGUAGUGGCUUACCAAGGCUUUGACGGGUAGCCGGCCUGAGAGGGUGACCGGCCACAUUGGGACUGAGAUACGGCCCAGACUCCUACGGGAGGCAGCAGUGGGGAAGAUUGCAUAAUGGGCGGAAGCCUGAUGCAGCAACGCCGCGUGCGGGAUGACGGCCUUCGGGUUGUAAACCGCUUUCGCCUGUGACGAAGCGUGAGUGACGGUAAUGGGUAAAGAAGCACCGGCUAACUACGUG